UACGGAGGGGGCAAGCGUUGUUCGGAUUUACUGGGCGUAAAGGGCGCGUAGGCGGACCUGUAAGUCAGGGGUGAAAUCCCAAGGCUCAACCUUGGAACUGCCUUUGAUACUGUGGGUCUUGAGUUCGAGAGAGGUAAGUGGAACUGCGGGUGUAGAGGUGAAAUUCGUAGAUAUUCGCAGGAACACCAGUGGCGAAGGCGGCUUACUGGCCCGGUACUGACGCUGAGGUGCGAAAGCGUGGGGAGCAAACAGG
Molecule: ribosomal RNA, 253 nt
Filed under: uncultured bacterium
Lineage: Bacteria
Description: partial 16S ribosomal RNA
Rfam family: Bacterial small subunit ribosomal RNA
Source: RNAcentral